This 208-nucleotide ribosomal RNA is filed under the name uncultured Ureaplasma sp. Its description in RNAcentral is "partial 16S ribosomal RNA". It matches the Rfam family "Bacterial small subunit ribosomal RNA", at positions 156 to 354 of the family's 1533-position model. The record is from RNAcentral. Lineage: Bacteria; Bacillati; Mycoplasmatota; Mycoplasmoidales; Mycoplasmoidaceae.
GAAUUAGCUAAUACCGAAUAAUAACAAUCAAUAUCGCAUGAGAAGAUGUAGAAAGUCGCGUUUGCGACGCUUUUGGAUGGGGGUGCGACGUAUCAGAUAGUUGGUGAGGUAAUGGCUCACCAAGUCAAUGACGCGUAGCUGUACUGAGAGGUAGAACAGCCACAAUGGGACUGAGACACGGCCCAUACUCCUACGGGAGGCAGCAGGG